CCUACGGGGUGCAGCAGUAGGGAAUCUUCCACAAUGGGCGAAAGCCUGAUGGAGCAACGCCGCGUGGGUGAAGAAGGUCUUCGGAUCGUAAAACCCUGUUGUUAGAGAAGAAAGUGCGUGAGAGUAACUGUUCACGUGUCGACGGUAUCUAACCAGAAAGCCACGGCUAACUACGUGCCAGCAGCCGCGGUAAUACGUAGGUGGCAAGCGUUAUCCGGAUUGAUUGGGCGUAAAGGGAACGCAGGCGGUCUUUUAAGUCUGAGGUGAAAGCCUUCGGCUUAACCGGAGUAGUGCAUUGGAAACUGUGAGCCUUGAGUGCAGCAGCGGCGAGUGGACCUCCAUGUGUAGCGGUGUAAUGCGUAGAUCUAUGGAAGAACCCCAGUGGCGAACGCGGCUCUCUGGUCUGUAUCUGACGCUGAGGUUCGAACGCGUGGGUAGCAAACAGGAUUAGAUACCCGAGUAGUC
This 465-nucleotide ribosomal RNA is filed under the name uncultured bacterium. RNAcentral describes it as "partial 16S ribosomal RNA". It matches the Rfam family "Bacterial small subunit ribosomal RNA", at positions 338 to 795 of the family's 1533-position model. The record is from RNAcentral.